ACUGACUACAAGCAGGAAGUCUUGCGCCGUAGCAGAGAAAUCACUUUUUUAACCCACAAAGAAGGAGAAGACAAGGUUGAUUAGGUGGCAGAUAUAUAUUUUCAAGAAGGAUAUUUGAAGAGAAAGGACAUCUUGUGAGAGGAAGUGGGCCAACCCCGGGAGCUAGCUCGGCUGUCCCGGCCAUGAAAUAGGGAAGAGCCCACCACUUCCACGAGAAUCAAGCGGUACCUGUCAGGCUUAUACGGCGUUAAACAGGUGCUACAAAUGUUUUUCUCCAGCAAUGGUCAUGUGGUGACACAAAGAUGGUAUUUGGAGAGGUCAGCAUUGAAGUGGGACGUCACUGAAGGUCCAGCUUAUGCUGAUUUUGGGUGUCCGAUCCAAAAGUUUGAAGAACUGAGCAGCGGCGGUCUUGGCUUUGGCGUAAUCUGGAGUGAAAGAUGAAGCUCUUCCCAGCGCCGUCCCACUGAUGACCACAGCUGAUAUCACCCUGGAACAGAGCAGCAGUGUGUCAGGAGUCACAUCUAGCUCACACACACACACACACACACACAUACACACACACACACACACACACACACGGAUUUGAAAUGACAAAAGUAUGGAACCUGAAAACGAUCACGUAUGGCAGCCCCUCAGAGCUAACCAGGUAGCCUCCAUAUCGGAAAGAAGCGGCGUAGGCCAUGAAGAUGACGCACUGGGACAAACCAAAAAAGAGGCCGUAGAUGUUGGCUUUCUUCUUGGCAGAUUGAUAAGGAGACUCAAGUUUGUGCUCGUAAGAAUCCACAAAGGAGCUCUCUUUGGCCAAGCCGGCAAUGGUUCUGAUGUUGGCGAGAGCUUCACCGGACACCUGCAAAACACGCCAUCUCAGAAAAAUGAGCUGGACCUUGACACGGCCUGGUGGACACUCACCUGGCCUGGUGGACACUCACCUGGCCUGCAGCCUCCAUGGCUUUCUUGUCUUCACUUGCGAAACCUGUCAACAUUUUGGCUUGGAAGAGUCCAGACAGCCCGAUGAGAGGCAAGAAGCACAUAAUGACCAAAGUCAGCUUCCAACUGAAGUAGAGGGCGAUGAUAAAAGAGGCUCCGAUGUUGGUCAGGGAGUUGACGAUCAUGCCGAUCUGAGAUCCUGUGGCCUGUCAAAUACAAAAUACUGCACCCUGACAUUUAUCUGCAUCUUUCCAAACAUCCAUCCAUACAUCCAUUUUCUACCGCUUGUCCCUUUCGGUGUCACGGGGGUGCUGGAGCCUAUCUCAGUUGCAUUUGGGCGGAAGGUGGAGUACGCCCUGGACAAGUCGCCACAGACAACAUUCACACACUAGGGACCAUUUAGUGUUGCCAAUCAACCUAUCCCCAGGUGCAUGUCUUUGGAGGUGGGAGGGGCCUAUCCCCAGGUGCAUGUCUUUGGAGGUGGGAGGAAGCCGGAGUAGAACCCACGCAGUCACAGAGAGAACAUGCAAACUCCACACAGAAAGACCCCAAGCCCGGGAAAUUGAACCCAGGAACUUCUAAUAGUGAAGCGCAAGCACUAACCCCUGUGACACCGUGCUGGCGGUUUCCAAACAUCUUAAAGGUUAAACUUUUCAAUAGUGGUCCUACAAAGUUUAAUAAAAAAAAAAUGUUCUGCUUUGUUUGCAGUAUCGAGUACUAUUUUUACUAUUGUAUCAAUCAACCAAUCAAAGAUUACUUAUAUAGAUCACCCUUAAUCACAAGUCUCAAAGGGCUGCACAAUUGAUUGAUUGAUUGAAACUUGUAUUAGUAGAUUGCACAGUACAGUACAUAUUAGAUUGUACAGUACAGUACAUAUU
Long non-coding RNA from Nerophis ophidion (straightnose pipefish), 1805 nucleotides. RefSeq lists it as uncharacterized. The record is from RefSeq and is a predicted model, not a curated record. NCBI's taxonomy places the organism in Eukaryota, Metazoa, Chordata, Actinopteri, Syngnathiformes, Syngnathidae. The transcript is spliced from 3 exons.